UGUGGACAAGGCCAAGUCCGA
This 21-nucleotide microRNA is filed under the name Chlamydomonas reinhardtii. Its description in RNAcentral is "cre-miR1168.1". The record is from miRBase by way of RNAcentral. Lineage: Eukaryota; Viridiplantae; Chlorophyta; Chlorophyceae; Chlamydomonadales; Chlamydomonadaceae.